RNAcentral lists this ribosomal RNA (233 nucleotides) under uncultured bacterium. RNAcentral describes it as "partial 16S ribosomal RNA". It matches the Rfam family "Bacterial small subunit ribosomal RNA", at positions 87 to 334 of the family's 1533-position model. The record is from RNAcentral.
CAAGUAAAGUGGCGUACGGGUGAGUAACACGUGGAUGAUCUGCCUUUUAGUGGGGAAUACCGUUGGGAAACCGACGACAAUACCGCAUAAUCCCGAGAGGGGAAAGCCGCAAGGCGCUGAAAGAGGAGUCCGCGGUCGAUUAGGUAGUUGGCAGGGUAAAAGCCUACCAAGCCUGUGAUCGAUAGCCGGCCUGAGAGGGCACACGGCCACACUGGCACUGAAACACGGGCCAG